GACAUUCAAAUGCUGGUUCUUGUAUGAUCACUGAAGUUAAGCAAUAUUGAGAGUGGUCAGUGCCUUGAUGGGUGACCACUUGGGAAUACCAGGUGCUGUAAG
Acanthosepion pharaonis is the source of this 102-nucleotide non-coding RNA. The record is from the annotation of a GenBank genome assembly. NCBI's taxonomy places the organism in Eukaryota, Metazoa, Mollusca, Cephalopoda, Sepiida, Sepiidae.